GACGAACGCUGGCGGCGUGCCUAAUACAUGCAAGUAGAACGCACAGUUUAUACCGUAGCUUGCUACACCAUAAACUGUGAGUUGCGAACGGGUGGGUAACGCGUAGGUAACCUGCCUGGUAGCGGGGGAUAACUAUUGGAAACGAUAGCUAAUACCGCAUAAUAUUAAUUAUUGCAUGAUAAUUGAUUGAAAGAUGCAAUUGCAUCACUACCAGAUGGACCUGCGUUGUAUUAGCUAGUAGGUGAGGUAACGGCUCACCUAGGCGACGAUACAUAGCCGAACUGAGAGGGUGAUCGGCCACACUGGGACUGAGACACGGCCCAGACUCCUACGGGAGGCAGCAGUAGGGAAUCUUCGGCAAUAGACGAAAGUCUGACCGAGCAACGCCGCGUGAGUGAAGAAGGUUUUCGGAUCGUAAAGCUCUGUUGUAAGAGAAGAACGGGUGUGAGAGUGGAAAGUUCACACUGUGACGGUAGCUUACCAGAAAGGGACGGCUAACUACGUG
This 505-nucleotide ribosomal RNA is filed under the name uncultured bacterium. Its description in RNAcentral is "partial 16S ribosomal RNA". It matches the Rfam family "Bacterial small subunit ribosomal RNA", at positions 28 to 507 of the family's 1533-position model. The record is from RNAcentral.